This 77-nucleotide transfer RNA is filed under the name SAR324 cluster bacterium. RNAcentral describes it as "tRNA-Ile". It matches the Rfam family "tRNA". Rfam says of the family: Transfer RNA (tRNA) molecules are approximately 80 nucleotides in length. Their secondary structure includes four short double-helical elements and three loops (D, anti-codon, and T loops). Further hydrogen bonds mediate the characteristic L-shaped molecular structure. tRNAs have two regions of fundamental functional importance: the anti-codon, which is responsible for specific mRNA codon recognition, and the 3' end, to which the tRNAs corresponding amino acid is attached (by aminoacyl-tRNA synthetases). tRNAs cope with the degeneracy of the genetic code in two manners: having more than one tRNA (with a specific anti-codon) for a particular amino acid; and 'wobble' base-pairing, i.e. permitting non-standard base-pairing at the 3rd anti-codon position. RNAcentral also lists the same sequence under 1 other name. Lineage: Bacteria; Deltaproteobacteria. The record is from RNAcentral.
GGGCCUAUAGCUCAGUUGGUUAGAGCAUCCGGCUCAUAACCGGACGGUCCCUGGUUCGAGUCCAGGUGGGCCCACCA